Molecule: unclassified non-coding RNA, 377 nt
Filed under: plant metagenome
Description: partial contains 5.8S ribosomal RNA, internal transcribed spacer 2, and large subunit ribosomal RNA
Rfam family: 5.8S ribosomal RNA (bases 1-104)
Source: RNAcentral
AAAUGCGAUAAGUAAUGUGAAUUGCAGAAUUCAGUGAAUCAUCGAAUCUUUGAACGCACCUUGCGCUCCUUGGUAUUCCUUGGAGCAUGCCUGUUUGAGUAUCAUGAAAUCUUCAAAGUAAAUCUUUUGUUAACUCAAUUGGUUUCUACUUUGGUAUUGGAGGUCUUUGCAGCUUCACACCUGCUCCUCUUUGUUCAUUAGCUGGAUCUCAGUGUUAUGCUUGGUUCCACUCGGCGUGAUAAGUUAUCUAUCGCUGAGGACACUGUAAAAGGUGGCCAAGGUAAAUGCAGAUGAACCGCUUCUAAUAGUCCAUUGACUUGGACAAUACUUUUAUGAUCUGAUCUCAAAUCAGGUAGGACUACCCGCCGAACUUUAGC